RNAcentral lists this long non-coding RNA (207 nucleotides) under Hordeum vulgare. Its description in RNAcentral is "long non-coding RNA (HVUL_LNC015140)". Lineage: Eukaryota; Viridiplantae; Streptophyta; Magnoliopsida; Poales; Poaceae. The record is from RNAcentral.
ACGGAAUUGGCUCGGUUAAACGCGUUUAUGACAGAUGGGCCCAUCAGUCAGGCUGACGUGGCGUCGCUUAACAUCACAGAUGUAACAAUGACGUUUGGUAACGUGUGAAGCCAUGUGGGGUCCACCUAUCAUUGGAAGAAAAAAAAGAAAAUAAUCUGGACGUGCUGGCCUUAUCUUCACCAACACACCGUCGUCCACCCCGUCCCC